AUUUGUGAAUUGUGAUGUCUAACAUGGAUCAGGAUGGUGGGUGCUUGCUUCCUUUAUUCUUGGUGUAAUAGAUUCGAUUCUAUUGCACGUGGAGUAACCCGAGUGUGUCAUCUUUUAUUUGGAGACGGAUCUCGAAGCUUAAGAUUUUGAAACCGUGCUGUCCACCACGUCGCCCACGUCCAGAAGCUGAGUAAAUACUUCACAUCUACAAUGUUCUUAAUGGCACCUUUCAAUAUAUGGAACUUCAGCCAUCCAAUCGUGCAGUCUGCAUCUCAUUCACCUUUGCUGUGAACAUCAAUAACAUGUACCCUAAUUGAAGGCAAGAAGGUUUAUAUUGACAGUGAUGUUGCUGUCCAGGGCAUGGUGUUGCAGCCAAUGGUGGUGAAAUAGUUUUUGCAUAAAGUUAAACUGGUUGCUCCUUGCUGCUGGUGUUGUGUUAGAAGUAACAUUCAGUAUUUUGUUUUAUUGUCAUAAGUUUCUAUGUAGUUUUACCGUUCAUACGAUAAGAAAGAACAAAAAAUUUAUACGGGGAAAUUUAUGUCAAACAAAUAAUAAACUUGUCUUCGUGAUUGGGAAAGCAAAGAGGGGGAAGUUGAGGGAGGGGUGAGAGUUUAUUUUAAUGAAUACUGAUGUGAUAUUUGGUGAUAAACCCUUUUAUUAUCCCAUAACCCUAUGUAAAUACCCUAUACAUCCAUUCACAAUCCCUAUGUCCAAUCUAUUAACUCCCAUAUUCAAUUAUACACCUAUUGAUCCUCAUAGCUAACCUAUCUACUCCCACAUACUAUAAACCCAAUAUUCCAUAAUAAUGUUAAAUAACUAUAUGUAUAACUGAAAAAAUUGACAAUA
This is a long non-coding RNA of Daphnia pulicaria, 846 nucleotides long. RefSeq lists it as uncharacterized. The transcript has 3 exons. NCBI's taxonomy places the organism in Eukaryota, Metazoa, Arthropoda, Branchiopoda, Diplostraca, Daphniidae. The record is from RefSeq and is a predicted model, not a curated record.